CCCUUCCACUACUAUAGAAUCCUCAAAAAAUUUGACCACAGGAGUAUUGACCUUCUUUAGUUGGUCAGUAGGCAAUUUCAUUCAUUGGAAUGCAUCAUAAAAUGAUACAUCGGCUGAGUUUCCAUUUAUUGAUUAAAUUUUUUUUUACAUCAUAAUUUACUAUCCUCAUUGAUACGAUAAUAGCAUCAUUAUAAGGAGUUUGGACUCCUAGGAGAUCAUCAUAAAAAAAGAAAACAAUAUCCCUAGUACAUUAUCUCUUUGUGCCUUCAGCUUGGUCCUCUACCCCCUACCAUUGGUGAAACCUAAGAUCAUGUUGAUAAUUCUAGCCAUGCAUUGGUUAUAAUUGUUCUCCUCAUCUAGUUGGUGCUGAGGUGAAUCUUCGAUCACACGAUUCUCAUACUUCUGAACUUAUUUAUCGAGGUAGUCUCUCCAAAUUAGGGUUUUGAUUUUAUCCUUUAAUUUGAGACAGUUCUUAAUAUCAUGACUGUGGUUGUGAUAGAGUGUGGUAGUACUUUCUCUGGUUCCUCCUCAUCGGUGAGGCCUUCAUUGGUUGAAGUCGACAAAGAUAUCCCCAGCCCUCAAUGUUCAUCAAGAUCUGGUUCUAAGGGGCAAAUAAGAGAGUGUACUUUUUAAAUCAUCGAGAUGGACUCCUCGGCUUGGGGUUCUUCAGUAGUCGGUAGGAUUCUCCUUCGACCCAAGCCGUAUGAGGUUCUUCCCAACCUCGCUUCUUGUUGGAGGUUCUUCCUCCCUCAGCCUAUUUAUGUGCAGUCUGAGCUUCUUCUGCUUGUGCAUAUUUUGGAGCUCGCGCCAAUAGAUUGACAUAGUCUCUCA
RNAcentral lists this long non-coding RNA (831 nucleotides) under Elaeis guineensis (African oil palm). Its description in RNAcentral is "long non-coding RNA (EGUI_LNC008412)". The record is from RNAcentral. Lineage: Eukaryota; Viridiplantae; Streptophyta; Magnoliopsida; Arecales; Arecaceae.